GGAAUUUUGGACAAUGGGCGAAAGCCUGAUCCAGCAAUGCCGCGUGCAGGAUGAAGGCCUUCGGGUUGUAAACUGCUUUUGUACGGAACGAAACGGUUCUUUCUAAUAAAGAGAGCUAAUGACGGUACCGUAAGAAUAAGCACCGGCUAACUACGUGCCAGCAGCCGCGGUAAUACGUAGGGUGCAAGCGUUAAUCGGAAUUACUGGGCGUAAAGCGUGCGCAGGCGGUUAUGUAAGACAGUUGUGAAAUCCCCGGGCUCAACCUGGGAAUUGCAUCUGUGACUGCAUAGCUAGAGUACGGUAGAGGGGGAUGGAAUUCCGCGUGUAGCAGUGAAAUGCGUAGAUAUGCGGAGGAACACCGAUGGCGAAGGCAAUCCCCUUGAACUGUACUGACGCUCAUGCACGAAAGCGUGGGGAGCAAA
This 422-nucleotide ribosomal RNA is filed under the name uncultured bacterium. RNAcentral describes it as "bacterial SSU rRNA". It matches the Rfam family "Bacterial small subunit ribosomal RNA", at positions 358 to 772 of the family's 1533-position model. The record is from RNAcentral.